RNAcentral lists this ribosomal RNA (271 nucleotides) under uncultured archaeon. RNAcentral describes it as "partial 16S ribosomal RNA". It matches the Rfam family "Archaeal small subunit ribosomal RNA", at positions 728 to 998 of the family's 1478-position model. The record is from RNAcentral.
AUUAGAUACCCGGGUAGUCCUAGCCGUAAACGAUACUCGCUAGGUGUCGGCCACGGUGCGACCGUUGUCGGUGCCGUAGGGAAGCCGUGGAGCGAGCCACCUGGGAAGUACGGCCGCGAGGCUGAAACUUAAAGGAAUUGGCGGGGGAGCACCACAACGGGUGGAGCUUGCGGUUUAAUUGGAUUCAACGCCGGAAAUCUUACCGGGACCGACAGCGAUAUGAAGGCCAGGCUGAAGACUUUGCCGGAUUAGCUGAGAGGUGGUGCAUGGC